UUAAACACCGGUUCGUGUCCGAUCACUGAAGUUAAGCAACGUUCAGCCUAGUCAGUUCCUAGAUGGGUGACCGUUUGGGAAUACCAUAUGCUGUAAG
Acanthosepion pharaonis is the source of this 97-nucleotide non-coding RNA. Lineage: Eukaryota; Metazoa; Mollusca; Cephalopoda; Sepiida; Sepiidae. The record is from the annotation of a GenBank genome assembly.